This 731-nucleotide ribosomal RNA is filed under the name uncultured Antarctic soil bacterium. Its description in RNAcentral is "bacterial SSU rRNA". It matches the Rfam family "Bacterial small subunit ribosomal RNA", at positions 72 to 755 of the family's 1533-position model. The record is from RNAcentral.
ACUUGCAGACCCCUCAUUUUUCACUGCACAAACACGAAUUGGGGUGGCCGUGAUGGCUGGCCGCAAGCGUGCAACGGCGCACCCAAGAGUACCUAUUAUGCGACGUACCUCUAACUGGUGGAUGGCCCGGUACAAAUUUGGAUUAGCCCCCCAUGGUAUGUAAAAGUAGCAUCACUUUUACAUUAAAAUUACAGGUGGUAAUAGAUGAGUUUUUUGUCCCAUUAGUUAGUUGGUAAGGUAACGGCUUACCAAGGCAGCGAUGGGUAGGGGUCCUGAGAGGGAGAUCCCCCACACUGGUACUGAGACACGGACCAGACUCCUACGGGAGGCAGCAGUGAGGAAUAUUGGACAAUGGAGGCAACUCUGAUCCAGCCAUGCCGCGUGCAGGAAGACUGCCCUAUGGGUUGUAAACUGCUUUUACAGAGGAAGAACCGCACCCACGUGUGGGUGUUUGACGGUACUCUGCGAAUAAGGAUCGGCUAACUCCGUGCCAGCAGCCGCGGUAAUACGGAGGAUCCAAGCGUUAUCCGGAAUCAUUGGGUUUAAAGGGUCCGUAGGCGGGACAAUAAGUCAGUGGUGAAAGUCUGCAGCUCAACUGUAGAACUGCCAUUGAAACUGUAGUCCUUGAGUCAUUAUGAAGUGGUAGAAUGAGUAGUGUAGCGGUGAAAUGCAUAGAUAUUACUCAGAAUCCGAUUGCGAAGGCAGGUACUAUUAUGACUGACCUGUGGACA